Non-coding RNA from Benincasa hispida (wax gourd), 346 nucleotides. NCBI's taxonomy places the organism in Eukaryota, Viridiplantae, Streptophyta, Magnoliopsida, Cucurbitales, Cucurbitaceae. The record is from RefSeq and is a predicted model, not a curated record.
CAAAAGGAAGGAAAGCGAGGAGACGGUUGAAGAUUAAUUCAACCUGUGAAAGACUUUUCAUCAUACAGGUUAUCAAGAAUGGAGAAGAAGAAAAUGUAUUGGUUCUAUCAUUUAAAGGUAGUGGUCACUACCCAGAAGACAUCUUCACUGUUGCUUUGCCACUCAAAGACACUGGUUGAAGGAAGUUUGAUUGAUGACUUUGUAAUUGUUAGUACACAUGUGUCUGUCAUACGGGGACUAGUGUUGUAUGUUGGGUUCACUAAGUUGUAAUGUACAUAAGUGUAUGUAUGAACAAUGUUAUGAAACCCUGUAAUGUAAAUGUGUUAAGUUUCUAGUAAUUUAUGUA